GAUGAACGCUGGCGGCGUGCCUAAUACAUGCAAGUCGAGCGAACAGACGAGGAGCUUGCUCCUCUGACGUUAGCGGCGGACGGGUGAGUAACACGUGGAUAACUUACCUAUAAGACUGGGAUAACUUUGGGAAACCGGAGCUAAUACCGGAUAAUAUAUUGAACCGCAUGGUUCAAUAGUGAAAGACGGUUUUGCUGUCACUUAUAGAUGGAUCCGCGCCGCAUUAGCUAGUUGGUAAGGUAACGGCUUACCAAGGCGACGAUGCGUAGCCGACCUGAGAGGGUGAUCGGCCACACUGGAACUGAGACACGGUCCAGACUCCUACGGGAGGCAGCAGUAGGGAAUCUUCCGCAAUGGGCGAAAGCCUGACGGAGCAACGCCGCGUGAGUGAUGAAGGUCUUCGGAUCGUAAAACUCUGUUAUUAGGGAAGAACAAAUGUGUAAGUAACUAUGCACGUCUUGACGGUACCUAAUCAGAAAGCCACGGCUAACUACGUG
RNAcentral lists this ribosomal RNA (497 nucleotides) under uncultured bacterium. Its description in RNAcentral is "partial 16S ribosomal RNA". It matches the Rfam family "Bacterial small subunit ribosomal RNA", at positions 28 to 507 of the family's 1533-position model. The record is from RNAcentral.